UGAACGCUGACAGAAUGCUUAACACAUGCAAGUCAACUUGAACUUCGGUUUGGGUGGCGGACGGGUGAGUAACGCGUAAAGAACUUGCCUCACAGACUGGGACAACAUUUGGAAACGAAUGCUAAGACCGGAUAUUAUGAUUUCAUUGCAUGAUGANGUCAUGAAAGCUANAUGCGCUGUGAGAGAGCUUUGCGUCCCAUUAGCUAGUUGGAGAGGUAACGGCUCACCAAGGCNAUGAUGGGUAGCCGGCCUGAGAGGGUGAACGGCCACAAGGGGACUGAGACACGGCCCUUACUCCUACGGGAGGCAGCAGUGGGGAAUAUUGGACAAUGGACCAAGAGUCUGAUCCAGCAAUUCUGUGUGCACGAUGAAGUUUUUCGGAAUGUAAAGUGCUUUCAGUUGGGAAGAAGAAAGUGACGGUACCAACAGAAGAAGCGACGGCUAAAUACGUGCCAGCAGCCGCGGUAAUACGUAUGUCGCAAGCGUUAUCCGGAUUUAUUGGGCGUAAAGCGCGUCUAGGCGGCUAGAUAAGUCUGAUGUGAAAAUGCGGGGCUCAACUCCGUAUUGCGUUGGAAACUGUAUAGCUAGAGUACUGGAGAGGUAAGCGGAACUACAGGUGUAGAGGU
Molecule: ribosomal RNA, 626 nt
Filed under: Fusobacterium sp. 3019/04
Lineage: Bacteria; Fusobacteriati; Fusobacteriota; Fusobacteriia; Fusobacteriales; Fusobacteriaceae
Description: bacterial SSU rRNA
Rfam family: Bacterial small subunit ribosomal RNA
Source: RNAcentral